This 464-nucleotide ribosomal RNA is filed under the name uncultured bacterium. Its description in RNAcentral is "partial 16S ribosomal RNA". It matches the Rfam family "Bacterial small subunit ribosomal RNA", at positions 339 to 795 of the family's 1533-position model. The record is from RNAcentral.
CUACGGGGUGCAGCAGUGAGGAAUUUUGCGCAAUGGGGGAAACCCUGACGCAGCAACGCCGCGUGAGUGAAGAAGGCUUUCGGGUCGUAAAGCUCUGUCAGAUAGGAAAAAAGUUCAUAUGUAAAUAGCUUAUGAAUCUGAUGGUACUAUCAGAGGAAGCACCGGCUAACUCCGUGCCAGCAGCCGCGGUAAUACGGAGGGUGCAAGCGUUGUUCGGAAUUACUGGGCGUAAAGGGCGUGUAGGCGGUAUGGUAAGUCAGAUGUGAAAGCCCUGGGCUUAACUCAGGAAGUGCAUUUGAUACUGCCAUCCUAGAGUAUGGGAGAGGAGAGUAGAAUUCCCAGUGUAGAGGUGAAAUUCGUAGAUAUUGGGAGGAAUACCCGUGGCGAAGGCGACUCUCUGGACCAAUACUGACGCUGAGACGCGAAAGCGUGGGGAGCAAACAGGAUUAGAUACCCCUGUAGUC